AGUGUCAUCUGUGAACUUGCUGAGGGUGCAAUCUGUCCCAUCAUCCAGUUCAUUAAUAAAGAUGUUGAACAAAACGGGCCCCAGGACCUACCCCUGGGAUACUCCAUUUUAUACCGGCUGCCAACUAGACUUCGAGCCAUUGAUCACUACCCGUUGAGCCCGGAGUCAAUGGAUAUGUGGCUAGAUUAUAUUAAGGACACAGUAAUAUCAGUGGCUAUACAACUAUAUCAAAAGAUAUAAAUGGAAAGAUUAAAAACAAAAUUUAAAUUUAAAACUGGGCCUGAUAAUCUGAAAGUACAAAAAGCUUGGUGUCUCAUGAAGUUGGGCUAAAAGUCUAUCUUAGAUGUAGGGGGCGUCAUGAGAAAGACUUAAUAGCAUACAAAUUAUCUAAUCUUUCUGCACACCUACUGAAACUUAACUUUGAGAUUUGUACUAGUACUUGGAGAAAGAUUAGUUAUUCUGCUCUUUGAAAGAACUUUUAAAAGCAACUUUGGAAAGAAUGCAGAUUUUUGUUUUCACAAUUGAUAAAUUUACAUGCCAGUCAUUUUGUGGAAAUCUUACAGCAGUUUGUCUCCUUGAAGAUAAUUGGAUGAAGAUUCACACCAAAAAAUUGCAACAGAUAUGAACCUCUCAGAAACUGCACCCUACAGAUGAUUUUACCAAAAGUUCCUGCUUUGGAUUAAGGUGGUUCACGCCAACUAAUGAGGUCCCUCUCUGUGGUCAUGCUACAAUGGCAUCAGCUGCUGUUAUUCCAUAUAAAAACUAAUGUAUAUUUAUAAAUUAUUUGAUACUGUGACUAAGUUUUGCAUAAUUUGUCAAAUGUUUCUGAUAUUAAAAAGC
Long non-coding RNA from Mauremys reevesii (Reeves's turtle), 840 nucleotides. RefSeq lists it as uncharacterized. The record is from RefSeq and is a predicted model, not a curated record. Lineage: Eukaryota; Metazoa; Chordata; Testudines; Geoemydidae. The transcript has 3 exons.